UGAACUUGACGCCUGUCAGGCCCCGCU
This 27-nucleotide non-coding RNA is filed under the name Rattus norvegicus (Norway rat). Lineage: Eukaryota; Metazoa; Chordata; Mammalia; Rodentia; Muridae. The record is from RNAcentral.